AGCAGCCGCGGUAAUUCCAGCUCCAAUAGCGUAUAUUAAAGUUGUUGCAGUUAAAAAGCUCGUAGUUGAAUUUCGGGAUCAGUACGUCGGUCGUGCCUCUGGUAUGUACUGGUGUUACUGGUUCCUCCCUUCUGAAGAACUGUCAUGUCAUUAAUUUGGUGUGGCGGGGAAUCAGGACUGUUACUUUGAAAAAUUAGAGUGUUUAAAGCAGGCUCGCGCUUGAAUACAUUAGCAUGGAAUAAUGAAAUAGGACGUUUGAUCCUAUUUUGUUGGUUUCUAGGAUUGACGUAAUGAUUAAUAGGGAUAGUUGGGGGCAUUAGUAUUCAAUUGUCAGAGGUGAAAUUCUUGGAUUUAUUGAAGACUAACUACUGCGAAAGCAUUUGCCAAGGAUGUUUUCAUUAAUCAAGAACGAAAGUUAGGGGAUUCGAAGACGAUCAGAUACCGUCGUAGUCUUAACCAUAAACUAUGCCGACUAGGGAUCGGAUGAUGUUAAUUUUUAAUGA
This 503-nucleotide ribosomal RNA is filed under the name uncultured Glomus. Its description in RNAcentral is "SSU rRNA". It matches the Rfam family "Eukaryotic small subunit ribosomal RNA", at positions 569 to 1074 of the family's 1831-position model. The record is from RNAcentral. Lineage: Eukaryota; Fungi; Glomeromycota; Glomeromycetes; Glomerales; Glomeraceae.